This 460-nucleotide ribosomal RNA is filed under the name uncultured bacterium. RNAcentral's name for it is "partial 16S ribosomal RNA". It matches the Rfam family "Bacterial small subunit ribosomal RNA", at positions 338 to 795 of the family's 1533-position model. The record is from RNAcentral.
CCUACGGGAGGCAGCAGUGAGGAAUAUUGGUCAAUGGGCGUAAGCCUGAACCAGCCAUGCCGCGUGCAGGAAGACGGCUCUAUGAGUUGUAAACUGCUUUUGUACAAGGGUAAACCUGAAUACGUGUAUUCAGCUGAAAGUACUGUACGAAUAAGGAUCGGCUAACUCCGUGCCAGCAGCCGCGGUAAUACGGAGGAUCCAAGCGUUAUCCGGAUUUAUUGGGUUUACAGGGUGCGUAGGCGGAUUGAUAAGUGAGAGGUGAAAUGUCCGAGCUCAACUCGGGAACUGCCUCUAAUACUGUUGAUCUAGAGAGUAGAUGCGGUAGGCGGAAUGUAUGGUGUAGCGGUGAAAUGCUUAGAGAUCAUACAGAACACCGAUUGCGAAGGCAGCUUACCAAUCUAUAUCUGACGUUGAGGCACGAAAGCGUGGGGAGCAAACAGGAUUAGAUACCCCAGUAGUC